Molecule: transfer RNA, 65 nt
Filed under: Lycodon rufozonatus (red-banded snake)
Lineage: Eukaryota; Metazoa; Chordata; Lepidosauria; Squamata; Colubridae
Description: tRNA-Thr
Source: RNAcentral
GCCCUAGUAGCUUAACCACUAAAGCAUUGUUCUUGUAAACCAAAGCUGGGCCUACCCCUAGAGCA